AGUGAACGCUGGCGGCAGGCCUAACACAUGCAAGUCGAGCGGCCACACAGUAAGAGCUUGCGCCUGCCGGUUGCGAGUGGCGGGCGGGUGAGGCCUACAUCGCAGUCUACUUUUUCGUGGGGGAUGACGUAGGCGGACAUACGCUAGUACAGCAUACGUCCUACGGCUGAGAGCAGGGGCUCUUCGGACCUUGCGCGUUGGGAUGAGACGGUGUCGCAUUAGCUAGUUGGCGGGGUAAAGGACCACCAUGGCGAGUAACCGUAGCUGGUCUGAGAGGGUGAUCAGCUACACGGGAACGGAGACAGGGCACCGACUCCGAGGGGAGGCAGCAGUCGGGAAUAUUGGGCAAUGGGGGAAAGCCGGAUCCAGCAAUACCGCGUGAGUGAAGAAGGCCCUAGGGUUGUAAAGCGCUGUUGUUGGGAAAGAAAAAAAGCAGGUUUAUACGCGGCUGUUAUGACGGUACCGAAAGAAUAAGCACCGGCUAACUUCGUG
RNAcentral lists this ribosomal RNA (492 nucleotides) under uncultured bacterium. RNAcentral's name for it is "partial 16S ribosomal RNA". It matches the Rfam family "Bacterial small subunit ribosomal RNA", at positions 30 to 507 of the family's 1533-position model. The record is from RNAcentral.